GGCUCUUUCGACCGCGGAAUAGGAAGUUAUCGUUAUACAUAGCGUAAAGAGCAUUCAAAUGAAUUGCGCGAAAUGAAAAAUAAAUAGAACUAAUUGUUAUCUUUGAAUCCAUAUACUUUUGCACUGUCUAAUAAAGAAAGAGAGACGCUUGUUAACUAGAACAAUGAAAAGAGAACAGAAGAUUGUAAGGAACAGUGGGUGUGAAAAAAAGAAAAGACCAGAAUCAAGAAAAUGAAAAUAAUUUGUCCAGUAUAUGAGAAUAUCAUUCGAAAAUUGAAAAUUGAAACAAAAAUUGAAUUCCUUUGGAACCAUGACAUUUCGGUUCUUUAUUUCGCGUAAUAUGUGGUAUUGAUUGAUCCGUGUAGAACAUAAUAACCCCAUCCACCAAGCCCCUUCUCGGAAAUUAGCUGGGUGUUCGGAUGUGACGAUUUCGGGAAGAGUCUCGCCUUCGAAGGUCAUCCUUUCAAUAAUUUUUGAACGAGUAAUGUGCAAAUACGGAAGAGGAAACGGAGGCCAAAGCAGUUCCAAUAGUCUUGAAUCGUUGGGAAGGAGCAGAAUCGACUGUUAUCUGAAUUGUAAUUACUUCCAAUGAAGAUAAGAGGUUAUUGCUAGAGCAUUACCAGAGAAACCAUCAGCUUCAAUAUUGAAUUUUAAUACACGAGCGCAUCAUAAAAGCAGAAGAGUUGUUCAAGAAGCAGUUGGAAGUUCUAACCAAAGAAGGAACAUCGUGCUUUUGCACUUGUGUACAAAUGGAAUACCUAGGAGAAGGAAAAAGAAGAAAAAACAUUUGUUUUUUUCCGAAGAAGUUUUGAAAGACCAACAUGGAACUGUUUUAUAAAGUUUGGAACGGUGGUACGAGGAAAUGAGAGGGAUUUAGCUUUUUCAAAAGAACCACUCGUGAGCGGCUUUAGCCGGAGAGUAUAGGCGAUUAUGCUUAGAAGGAUUUGUAGAAGGGUCGUCCGAAGCUCCACGCGGGGCAAGGGUCAAAGGGGAAUUAAAAUGAAACUGAGGGAGGUAUACAAAACAAUUUAACAUGCAGGGACGAUGAGAAGGUUCAUCUUUUUUGAAAGUAACAACGUUAAUAGGGGAAUACUUUUAAGCUAUAUGGGAAAUGGAAAGUCCAUAUUCACGUCAUCGUUAUUCCAUCGAUUUAAAUUAAGUAAUCGUUGGAUAUAAUUAGGAAAGGAGAAAUGCUGAAUUCUAUCUUUCAAAUUGUCUGUCGUAAUAUUCACGACAUGUAGUUGAAAAAUAUUCGUAAUAUUUAAUUAGCAUUUUUCAUAAAUAUUGAAAUUUGGACGAAGUAAUUUGGUGGGUAGCGCGAAUUACCUGUUGUUAAUACUUACUCCCGUACUUACUUAGCCAAGUACCUUCGUUUUAAACCCAGCGUUAUUAUCUCUCUCUGCGUGUGCUCUGGUGCGCGCCUAUCUGCGCCAGUUCGAGGGGUCGGGAUUGAGUGCCCGGUCUUGUGUGCGUGUAUGCUACAACUCCUGUCUUUUCUUGAUAAUAAAGAAAAUAUGUUUUCAUUUGUUUUCCUAUCAUCAUGUCAAGCAGAUAAUUGGAGAUUAGCUCUAUAGUUCAAUUGUCUAUUUAGAUUCAUUGGUUGGUAACACUGUUACUUAUUUUGCAGAGCAUUGGACUAUUUUUUUAGGAACCAAUUGAUUUGUAACAUAUUAUAUGAAAUAUUCGAUAACUGGAGGUAUAAUGGGAUUAUUGUUUUGCAUUCUCCAAUAGGGAGUAAAUUUCUAGGAAAAUGUAACCGUUCAUAGAGAAGAAUCAAAUCAGUCGUGUUAGAUGGAUCUGCAAAAGAAUUAACCAGGUAAUUAAAUGAUACUGCUAAAUAGAUAAUUCAGUUAUACCGCUAAUCUUAUUAUCGAAUUCUCUGCCUGGUUUGAUGAGAGGAAAAACUAAUGAAAAGAUACCUUUCUUGUUUUGAAAAUAAGAGAGGAGAUGUACGUCAAGCAGACACGCUCACUUGAACUCGCUCACGUAAAUGCGCACGUUCACGAGGAGAGGUAAUAAGUCGUUUAAUAUGAUGGUGCUGGACGAUAGGUUGGAGAAAAGGCGUACGUGCAGAUCGUUAAGUCCCGAUCAAUACCCGGUAUUAGAGGAAUUUGUAGACAUGGGGGAUCAUAUGUUUUUGCAAAAGAAUCAUAAUUUUGUUCAUUAUAAUUUUCUACGAUGUCUAUGAUAAAUGUUGAAUCAAUUCUCUUUCCACAUUAUCAUCCCUCGCAUUAUGUAUGAGAUCUCUCCGUUUUUUUGUUGAAUGUCAUCACUAUCACUCUUAUCGUUUUCUUGCCCGAAUAAUAUUAAUUUUUUCUAACGUAUCUGUAUAAAUAUCUAUCUGGAAUUCCUCUUCGGUAUUACUUAUGACACCAAACUCACUAUUGUUUGGAUAUUUUGCCAUUCUCCUAAUGAAAAAAAAGUAAGUAAUUGUAGUCUCAAAUUGUAUGUUACGAAAUCGAGAAACGAUAUAUACCAAAAGAAUAUUACGUUUCUGAUUUUCUGGCUUAUUAGUCUUGGGAACUAUCUAUUUCACUAAAAGUUUCAAUACGAAGCGAGUUCAGCUUCGAAAAUAUCUCCUCAGUUUUAUGAUUACUUGUUUACUCCAUCAAAUAUCACUGCAUCGUACGAGGCGUACUCGUGUACCAUUGCGGACAAGUCCUUGUCACUUUAUUUAAGCGGUUUAGAGAAGCCCUCAGACCGUUAUGAACGUACUUCUUUUCUGUAAGACUGAGUGAUAUUCUUUUUAUAUGACUUGGUAUUUUGACCAUUCCUUGACUAACUAAGUGAAUGGUUCUCUCGGAGGGGAAAUACGGGAAAGAGAAGAAGGUAAUAUUAGGAAAGCAUAAAUGUGACGAAAGAUUUUCUCCGAGUACAUGUUUUUAUUAUCGUGCAAUAACGAAAAUGAAUUCUUCGAUAACUUGAUCAAUAUGUAUUUUUUUGCAAGGAAGGAAAGUAAUAUAUGGAGAAAAUGUUUUCCAGGAAUAUGGAAGUAGAUAUAACUUCCGACGAAAACAUUUUUUUACAAAAGAAGAUUUUACAAUAAGAAUUAUAUUGUGGCAGAAUAAGCUCGAUUUGAUUCUUGAAUUUAUUGUAUCCUUUGAAAGGGAGUAAAAUUUGUUUAUUCAGUCGUCAUUAAGCAAAUCCUAAAGAGAUCCAGAAAGGAUAGGCUUAGAGUAGUAUAUCAGCAAUUAAUCAAUUACGAUAAUGAAUUCUAUGUCAUCUAUAUCGUCUUAAACAACAUACACUCGAUAAGAUAAAACAUACUCGAAUUUUUUGUUUCUCUCAAUUUAUUGUUUUGUUGAUUGCUUUUAUGCAAUCCUUUAUGACGGAAUUGUUAAUAGAGGGUCGUAAAACCAUUUUCGAUAGACCUUCGUUACAAUUCUAUAUGAUAACCUCAGAAAAAUGUGCGUAAUUAAUUGUUCCUCUGCCUGAUGUGUUCAUGAACGCAAUCUUGAUUGUUCUUUUCACGCGGCAGACGGGUUCUAUACAUAUAUAUAUAUAUAUAUAUAUAUAUAUAUAUAUAUAUAUAUAUAUAUAUAUACAAAUACAUACAUUCAUAUCUAUAUAUAUGUAUAUAUACAUAUAUAUCUUACUGUAUACUAAAAUCUAAUACAUUUGUAUACCUGUUUGUUCACACAUUUGUCUACAUGUUGCUAAAGUAUUUAUAUCUAUCUGAACAUCUCUAAGCAUAUACAUGAAAGUAAAAUUAAAGAGAAACUUGAAAAAUAAGUUGAAAUAAUAAAAGAGAUGUCAUUAAGAUUGAAGCAAUGAGAUAUCUAUGGGGAAAGUGAAUCAACUGAUACGGAUUCCAUACUUUCAUAUAUCUGCGCAAGAGAGAUAAAUGUGAACACGACGGUUGAUAAAUGUUUACUUUUCCUUUAAUUUAAAAAAAAAUGUUAUUUAACUUAUUAUUUACGAGAAAGUCAAAAAAUCCAUUUGUAAAUAAUUCUAUGGAAAUAAUAUUUAAAAAAAAAAACGUAAAUAAGUAAGUGAAAAAAAAUUGAAAUUAAAAGAAAUAAUAUUAAAGAAAAGAGCAACCAAAUAUGUAUUCGGGGAGUGUUGAAGAUAAAAAAAUAUUUAAGAAAUGGGACGCUUUUAUAUAAUAUUAACUAAUAAGAUUUUCACCUGAGUUACGAAUUGAAUUUGGUCCGAUACUCUGCCCUUACUUUUUCCCGAACUAAUUGAUUACAGAAAGAGUUUAUGACAAACUAAGUCAAAGUAAGCACAAAAUGGUGUACUAGAAUUGCUUUAAAACUUAUCAUGGAUAUCGUAGAAAAUUAUAGAAUAGGAUUUUGAUUUCUUUUCGAGAAAUUUGUCCCUCGAUGUAUAUAAAUUCAUAUAAAUCAAAUACCACUGUAUAAUAUGAUGUAAUAUAUACUACGUUCGCGCGACGAAAUGUCGCCGUGUAUAUAAGGAAAAAUCAUUUAAUAAAUGGAAAUAUCACUUUA
This is a long non-coding RNA of Vespula vulgaris, 4451 nucleotides long. RefSeq lists it as uncharacterized. The transcript is spliced from 4 exons. The record is from RefSeq and is a predicted model, not a curated record. Lineage: Eukaryota; Metazoa; Arthropoda; Insecta; Hymenoptera; Vespidae.